CCUACGGGCGGCAGCAGUGGGGGAUAUUGCACAAUGGGGGAAACCCUGAUGCAGCGACGCCGCGUGGGUGAAGAAGCGCCUCGGCGCGUAAAGCCCUGUCAGCAGGGAAGAAAAUGACGGUACCUGAAGAAGAAGCCACGGCUAACUACGUGCCAGCAGCCGCGGUAAUACGUAGGGGGCAAGCGUUAUCCGGAUUUACUGGGUGUAAAGGGGGCGCAGACGGCGAUGCAAGCCAGGAGGGAAAGCCCGGGGCCCAACCACGGGACUGCGCUUGGAACUGGGUGGCUAGAGUGCAGGAGGGGCAGGCGGAAUUCCUGGUGUAGCGGUGAAAUGCGUAGAUAUCAGGAGGAACACCGGUGGCGAAGGCGGCCUGCUGGACUGCAACUGACGUUGAGGCCCGAAAGCGUGGGGAGCAAACAGGAUUAGAUACCCUAGUAGUC
This 440-nucleotide ribosomal RNA is filed under the name uncultured bacterium. Its description in RNAcentral is "partial 16S ribosomal RNA". It matches the Rfam family "Bacterial small subunit ribosomal RNA", at positions 338 to 795 of the family's 1533-position model. The record is from RNAcentral.